UCUGGCUUAUAGCCAAGCGGUACAUUUAGAGUGCCCAACUAAAUGAUGGCAACUAAUGGCGAGGGUUGCGCUCGUUGCGGGACUUAACCCAACAUCUCACGACACGAGCCGACGACAGCCAUGCAGCACCUGUCCAACGACCCAUUGCUGGGAGGAAUCCAUCUCUGGAAACCGUCCGAAGGAUGUCAAGGGCUGGUAAGGUUCUUCGCGUUGCGUCGAAUUAAACCACAUGCUCCACCGCUUGUGCGGGCCCCCGUCAAUUCCUUUGAGUUUUAACCUUGCGGCCGUACUCCCCAGGCGGGAUGCUUAAUGCGUUAGCUGCGCCACCAACAAGCAUGCUUGCUGACGGCUAGCAUCCAUCGUUUACAGCGUGGACUAC
Molecule: unclassified non-coding RNA, 379 nt
Filed under: uncultured Alphaproteobacteria bacterium
Lineage: Bacteria; Pseudomonadati; Pseudomonadota; Alphaproteobacteria
Description: contains 16S-23S intergenic spacer region
Source: RNAcentral